ACGGGUGAGUAAUAUAUCGGAACGUGCCCAGUUGUGGGGGAUAGCCCGGCGAAAGCCGGAUUAAUACCGCAUACGACCUGAGGGUGAAAGCGGGGGAUCGCAAGACCUCGCGCAAUUGGAGCGGCCGAUAUCAGAUUAGCUAGUUGGUGGGGUAAAGGCCUACCAAGGCGACGAUCUGUAGCUGGUCUGAGAGGACGACCAGCCACACUGGGACUGAGACACGGCCCAGACUCCUACGGGAGGCAGCAGUGGGGAAUUUUGGACAAUGGGCGCAAGCCUGAUCCAGCCAUGCCGCGUGCGGGAAGAAGGCCUUCGGGUUGUAAACCGCUUUUGUCAGGGAAGAAACGGUCUGAACUAAUACUUUGGACUAAUGACGGUACCUGAAGAAUAAGCACCGGCUAACUACGUGCCAGCAGCCGCGGUAAUACGUAGGGUGCAAGCGUUAAUCGGAAUUACUGGGCGUAAAGCGUGCGCAGGCGGCUAUGCAAGACAGAUGUGAAAUCCCCGGGCUCAACCUGGGAACUGCAUUUGUGACUGCAUGGCUAGAGUACGGUAGAGGGGGAUGGAAUUCCGCGUGUAGCAGU
RNAcentral lists this ribosomal RNA (584 nucleotides) under proteobacterium StRD419. RNAcentral's name for it is "bacterial SSU rRNA". It matches the Rfam family "Bacterial small subunit ribosomal RNA", at positions 102 to 682 of the family's 1533-position model. Lineage: Bacteria; Pseudomonadati; Pseudomonadota. The record is from RNAcentral.